CUAAAUGGUGGCCGUGCGCAGGGCGCCUUCGGGUGCGCCGGGUUCCUAGUACACCGGUCUACCAACCUGCGUAUGGCCGCCACCCUA
RNAcentral lists this non-coding RNA (87 nucleotides) under Pseudomonas fluorescens HK44. The record is from RNAcentral. Lineage: Bacteria; Pseudomonadati; Pseudomonadota; Gammaproteobacteria; Pseudomonadales; Pseudomonadaceae.